RNAcentral lists this ribosomal RNA (860 nucleotides) under uncultured organism. RNAcentral's name for it is "bacterial SSU rRNA". It matches the Rfam family "Bacterial small subunit ribosomal RNA", at positions 592 to 1461 of the family's 1533-position model. The record is from RNAcentral.
UGGUGAAAGUUUGUGGCUCAACCAUAAAAUCGCCAUUGAUACUGUUAUUCUUGAGUUUAUUGUGAAGUGGUUAGAAUGUGUAGUGUAGCGGUGAAAUGCAUAGAUAUACACAGAAUACCAAUUGCGAAGGCAGAUCACUAACAAUGAACUGACGCUGAUGGACGAAAGCGUAGGUAGCGAACAGGAUUAGAUACCCUGGUAGUCUACGCAGUAAACGAUGGUUACUAGCUGUUUGGCAUAAUUGAGUGCUGAGUGGUUAAGCGAAAGUGAUAAGUAACCCACCUGGGGAGUACGUUCGCAAGAAUGAAACUCAAAGGAAUUGACGGGGGCCCGCACAAGCGGUGGAGCAUGUGGUUUAAUUCGAUGAUACGCGAGGAACCUUACCAGGGCUUAAAUGCAGUCUGACAGGGGUGGAAACACCUUUUUCUUCGGACAGAUUGCAAGGUGCUGCAUGGUUGUCGUCAGCUCGUGCCGUGAGGUGUCAGGUUAAGUCCUAUAACGAGCGCAACCCCUAUGGUUAGUUGCUAGCAGGUCAUGCUGAGAACUCUAGCCAGACUGCCGGUGUAAACCGCGAGGAAGGUGGGGAUGACGUCAAAUCAUCACGGCCCUUACGUCCUGGGCUACACACGUGCUACAAUGGUAUGUACAAUGAGCAGCCACCACGCGAGUGGGCGCAAAUCUCAAAAGCAUAUCACAGUUCGGAUCGGAGUCUGCAACUCGACUCCGUGAGGCUGGAAUCGCUAGUAAUCGCACAUCAGCCAUGGUGCGGUGAAUACGUUCACCGGGCCUUGUACACACCGCCCGUCAAGCCAUGGAAGCUGGGGGUGCCUGAAGUUCGUCACCGCAAGGAGCGACCUAGG